This 433-nucleotide ribosomal RNA is filed under the name uncultured bacterium. RNAcentral's name for it is "partial 16S ribosomal RNA". It matches the Rfam family "Bacterial small subunit ribosomal RNA", at positions 29 to 507 of the family's 1533-position model. The record is from RNAcentral.
AACGAACGCUGGCGGCAUGCCUAACACAUGCAAGUCGAACGAGACCUUCGGGUCUAGUGGCGCACGGGUGCGUAACGCGUGGGAACCUGCCCUUAGGUUCGGAAUAACUCCCCGAAAGGGGUGCUAAUACCGGAUAAUGUCUUCGGACCAAAGAUUUAUCGCCUUUGGAUGGGCCCGCGUUGGAUUAGCUAGUUGGUAGGGUAAAAGCCUACCAAGGCGACGAUCCAUAGCUGGUCUGAGAGGAUGAUCAGCCACACUGGGACUGAGACACGGCCCAGACUCCUACGGGAGGCAGCAGUGGGGAAUAUUGUACAAUGGGCGAAAGCCUGAUCCAGCAAUGCCGCGUGAGUGAUGAAGGCCUUAGGGUUGUAAAGCUCUUUUACCCGGGAUGAUAAUGACAGUACCGGGAGAAUAAGCGCCGGCUAACUCCGUG